GGUGAGAUAGUGUAGUGGUUAACACACUAAGCUGCGCAGCACAGAGCCCUAGGUUCAAUUCCUAGUCUUACCA
Transfer RNA from Oikopleura dioica, 73 nucleotides. It matches the Rfam family "tRNA". Rfam says of the family: Transfer RNA (tRNA) molecules are approximately 80 nucleotides in length. Their secondary structure includes four short double-helical elements and three loops (D, anti-codon, and T loops). NCBI's taxonomy places the organism in Eukaryota, Metazoa, Chordata, Appendicularia, Copelata, Oikopleuridae. The record is from Rfam.